RNAcentral lists this ribosomal RNA (486 nucleotides) under Uroteuthis edulis (swordtip squid). RNAcentral's name for it is "partial 16S ribosomal RNA". It matches the Rfam family "Bacterial large subunit ribosomal RNA", at positions 1863 to 2588 of the family's 2925-position model. Lineage: Eukaryota; Metazoa; Mollusca; Cephalopoda; Myopsida; Loliginidae. The record is from RNAcentral.
UCGGUGAAAUGUUUAACAGCUGCGGUAUUUUAACUGUACUAAGGUAGCAUAAUAAUUUGCCUUAUAAUUUGAGGCUAGAAUGAAUGGUUUGACGAAGGUUAAUCUGUCUCCACUUUAUUUUUUAGAAAUUAAUUUUCAUAGUGAAAAAGCUUGAAUUUUUUAAGGGGACGAGAAGACCCUAUUGAGCUUAUAAUUUUAUUAAUAUUUUAUAAAUAUUUAUGUUGUGUUAUAUAAAUUUUAAUUGGGGUGAUUAAGGAAUAAUUUUAUUGAUUUUAUAGUGUAACUUCCUUAGAAAACAUAUUGUUAGAUUAAGUAACCGAUUUAUAUAUAGGUUUAUAUUGGGUAUUGCUUAUAAUAUAGUUACCAUAGGGAUAACAGCGUAAUUUACUUAGAGAGUUCUUAUUGAAAAGUAAGAUUGCGACCUCGAUGUUGGAUUAAAGUAACCUUAAGGUGCAGAAGCUUUAUAAGGUAAAUCUGUUCGAUUUU